RNAcentral lists this ribosomal RNA (465 nucleotides) under uncultured bacterium. Its description in RNAcentral is "partial 16S ribosomal RNA". It matches the Rfam family "Bacterial small subunit ribosomal RNA", at positions 338 to 795 of the family's 1533-position model. The record is from RNAcentral.
CCUACGUGAGGCAGCAGUGGGGAAUAUUGCGCAAUGGGCGAAAGCCUGACGCAGCGACGCCGCGUGAGGGAUGAAGGUCUUCGGAUCGUAAACCUCUGUCAGCAGGGAAGAACGGUCACUGUGCUAAUCAGCAGUGAAUUGACGGUACCUGCAAAGGAAGCACCGGCUAACUACGUGCCAGCAGCCGCGGUAAUACGGAGGGUGCGAGCGUGAAUCGGAAUUACUGGGCGUAAAGCGCUCGUAGGCGGUAUGUCAAGUCAAGGGUGAAAUCCCCGCGCUCAACGUGGGAACUGCCUUUGAAACUGGCAAACUGGAGUGUGUGAGAGUAGAGUUGAAUUCCAGGUGUAGGAGUGAAAUCCGUAGAUAUCUGGAGGAACAUCAGUGGCGAAGGCGACUAUCUGGCACAUAACUGACGCUGAGGAGCGAAAGCGUGGGUAGCAAACAGGAUUAGAUACCCCAGUAGUC